This 547-nucleotide ribosomal RNA is filed under the name uncultured bacterium. Its description in RNAcentral is "bacterial SSU rRNA". It matches the Rfam family "Bacterial small subunit ribosomal RNA", at positions 347 to 912 of the family's 1533-position model. The record is from RNAcentral.
GGCAGCAGUGAGGAAUAUUGGACAAUGGGGGAAACCCUGAUGCAGCGACGCCGCGUGAGCGAUGAAGGUCUUCGGAUCGUAAAGCUCUGUCCUUAGGGAAGAAUAUUGACGGUACCUAAGGAGGAAGCCCCGGCUAACUACGUGCCAGCAGCCGCGGUAAUACGUAGGGGGCGAGCGUUGUCCGGAAUCACUGGGCGUAAAGGGAGCGUAGGCGGCUCUGUAAGUCAGAUGUUAAAGGCAUUGGCUCAACCAAUGUAGGCAUUUGAAACUACAGGGCUUGAGUACAGGAGAAGAGAGUGGAAUUCCUAGUGUAGCGGUGAAAUGCGUAGAUAUUAGGAGGAACACCAGUGGCGAAGGCGACUCUCUGGACUGUUACUGACGCUGAGGCUCGAAAGCGUGGGGAGCAAACAGGAUUAGAUACCCUGGUAGUCCACGCCGUAAACGAUGAGUGCUAGGUGUUGGGGCCGACAGGUUUCAGUGCCGCAGUUAACACAUUAAGCACUCCGCCUGGGGAGUACGAUCGCAAGAUUGAAACUCAAAUGAAUUG